This 403-nucleotide ribosomal RNA is filed under the name bacterium. Its description in RNAcentral is "partial 16S ribosomal RNA". It matches the Rfam family "Bacterial small subunit ribosomal RNA", at positions 355 to 776 of the family's 1533-position model. The record is from RNAcentral.
UGGGGAAUAUUGCACAAUGGAGGGAACCCUGAUGCAGCGACGCCGCGUGAACGAAGAAGGCUUUCGAGUCGUAAAGUUCUUUUAUAUGGGAAGAUAAUGACGGUACCAUAAGAAGAAGCCCCGGCUAACUACGUGCCAGCAGCCGCGGUAAUACGUAGGGGGCUAGCGUUGUCCGGAAUCACUGGGCGUAAAGGGUUCGCAGGCGGAAAUGCAAGUCAGGUGUAAAAGGCAGUAGCUUAACUACUGUAAGCAUUUGAAACUGCAUAUCUUGAGAAGAGUAGAGGUAAGUGGAAUUUUUAGUGUAGCGGUGAAAUGCGUAGAUAUUAAAAAGAAUACCGGUGGCGAAGGCGACUUACUGGGCUCAUUCUGACGCUGAGGAACGAAAGCGUGGGUAGCAAACAGG